RNAcentral lists this ribosomal RNA (253 nucleotides) under uncultured bacterium. RNAcentral describes it as "partial 16S ribosomal RNA". It matches the Rfam family "Bacterial small subunit ribosomal RNA", at positions 524 to 776 of the family's 1533-position model. The record is from RNAcentral.
UACAGAGGGGGCAAGCGUUAUUCGGAAUUAUUGGGCGUAAAGGGCGCGUAGGCGGCCUGGCAAGUGGAAGGUGAAAUCCCUCGGCUUAACCGAGGAACUGCCUUCCAAACUGCUUGGCUUGAGUCCGGGAGAGGUGAGUGGAAUUCCCAGUGUAGCGGUGAAAUGCGUAGAUAUUGGGAGGAACACCGGUGGCGAAGGCGGCCAUCUGGACCGGCACUGACGCUGAGGCGCGAAAGCGUGGGGAGCAAACAGG